ACUUCCGGUUGUCAUUAUUCCUUCGAGUUUAGAUCGAUCACUCUGUUUUAAAAUAGCAGUCUGCAUGUUCAAUGUACACAAUGGAACGGGUUAGUUGCUCGGACAUACAUCUUUUUCGUACAAGUUUCUAUUUGGGUUUGUCGUUUCCUUAUGGGGAAAGACGAUAAUGUCUCUCGUAUUGGUGUUAGCAUUUCAGCUAGCUAAUGAGCUAGUAAAUAAAGUAACCAAGCGGAGUGCUGUCCAGUCUUCUACAAGUCCACAGCGUUCUACUCGUAAGGAAAAGGUGGAGAAAGAGGAGUGAAAGGUGAAGUACCUGAGGGCCACACAGAUGUCAGCAGAGGUGAAGAAGACCUUGGGAGUUCUUCCAGGGACGUUGUGCUCGCCCUGCUUGCUGCACACGGACUGAGGAGGUAGGUAAAGGUGCUUUUGUGUUUACUCUUUGUCAAUGGGCCUAAGAGGAGAGGCGGGGCCACAUGGGGCAGGUAACCCCCCCCCCCACACACACACACGCACACCGCCAUGUUUUUUUAACCUCCGUCUCAGAUGAUAAGCCUGAAGGAAGAAGAAGGACUGAAGGCAAUCAGGGUCAUGCUGUGUUUUUUUCACUUGUAAAAAUGAGUUUGGAAAAGUUAU
Entelurus aequoreus (snake pipefish) is the source of this 633-nucleotide long non-coding RNA. RefSeq lists it as uncharacterized. The record is from RefSeq and is a predicted model, not a curated record. The transcript is spliced from 3 exons. Lineage: Eukaryota; Metazoa; Chordata; Actinopteri; Syngnathiformes; Syngnathidae.